Long non-coding RNA from Ipomoea nil (Japanese morning glory), 1695 nucleotides. RefSeq lists it as uncharacterized. The record is from RefSeq and is a predicted model, not a curated record. Lineage: Eukaryota; Viridiplantae; Streptophyta; Magnoliopsida; Solanales; Convolvulaceae. The transcript is spliced from 8 exons.
CCGAUCGUUUCUCUCCAAAAGAAUAGUCGCCAAAAACCCGUCUCCCAUUAUUCAGUCUUUUCUCUCAAAUUUCAAUUUUUCCCAAUUCUUCCACAAUCCCUAGUGAUUUCUAAAACACGAGGAAGCAACAAUCGCUGAAUCGUUCAUUCAAUUCAUUUGUUCGUAGCCGACGGAGUUCGAUUACGUGUUCGUCGCCACUGGAGUUCGAAUUCUUGUUCGUCGCCGCCGGAGUUCGAUUUCUUGUUCGUCGCAGCCGAAGUUGGGAAGAGCAGUUUCUGCAAAAUCUUCUACUAGGUUCCUAUUUUUGAUGGGUUAGCAAGGGAAUGGGUAAAUGCAAUAGAAGAAGUUGGGUUGAAGGUUGCUGCUGAUUCUGGUGGCAAAAGCUGUGAUAAGUUGGCACCUUAUGUUAAUGAACCUUUUCAUGUGUGGAAAAAUGACACUUUUGUUGCUGCAUUUCCUUCUUCAAAGCUCAGGAUCAGCUGUGGAAUUAACUUUCCUUAGGCUCCUGCAAUUGGGUGUCAAUGGUUUUCUUGUUCAUUAUCAGAUGAUUGCGUCUAUGUAGAGCAGAUAGCUUCUUCAAGAACAUUUUGCAUUUAUGAGCAGGUACCAAACCUUGGCAGUUAACUGAAAUUGUACAUCAAACUCAAUGCCUAACGGUUUCCGUGCCAGAAUGCUCUGAUGCAAAGGAAGAGAACAAAAUAUUGGAUAAAAUGCAUCGCCAAAAGGUUGCAGAAGUUGAAAAGCUUACCCAAACUGUGUGUGAGCUUGAAGAGGCUGUUCUUGCUGGUGGUGCAGCAGCUAAUGCUGUUCGGGAUUACCAACGCAAAGUUCAAGAGAUGAAUGAAGAGAGAAAAACUCUUAACCGGGGGCUGGCACAUGCGAAGGUUACUGCAAAUAGGGUGGCCACAGUGGUUGCUAAUGAGUGGAAAGAUUCUAAUGACAAAGUAAUGCCUGUAAAACCGUGGCUUGAAGAGAGAAGGUUUUUGCAGGGGGAGAUGCAACAAUUAUGAGAUAAGCUAGCAAUUUUUGAACGAACUGCAAAAUCAGAAGCCCAGUUGAAAGAAAAAUAUCAAUUAAGGCUUAGGGUUCUAGAAGAUACAUUAAGGUCAUCUAGCACAAGCGUUUCAUUGGAAACUUUGUUAUCUUUGGUUAAAAGCAUCUCUAUUGAUGGUGGAGUUGGUUUUGCUUUCAUCAAUGUUGCUGGCAAAAAUGAUUACCCAUUAUCUUUGUUCUUUAUUCAAUCAAUUAUGAAUCCUCCCUAAUGGAAUGGGGAUGUUUGAGAUGUUCAUUGUGUAGUGUCUAACAUCUAAACAUUGCAGGUUGAGGACUUUUAUGUCUUGGGGGAAGAAUUUUUCAUUCCAUUGAUGGUGAAUUUGCAUGCAGUUCCCUUGGGAGAAGAUGGAAACCUUGCUUCAUUGAAAGUUCCUUCUGGGAAAAAAACUACUGGAAUAAAAGUUGAUCAUGUCACUGUUGCUCCUAUAUGUGUUCAGCUUUAAGAACCACCAAUGUUCAAGACCUAGAGAGAGUGAACAACAGUACCUCUAUGCCAUGCUUCCUGCAUCUGCUCAUCUUCGUGUAUUUGAAGAAUUGUGUUUUGAAUUGUCUAAGCUGAUGAAGCAACUUCUUUUAAUACUAUACUAUUGAAUGUUAUUAUUUGACAAAUAUUAGUUACAAUUGAUUUUCUUUUCAAUUAAA